This 445-nucleotide ribosomal RNA is filed under the name uncultured bacterium. Its description in RNAcentral is "bacterial SSU rRNA". It matches the Rfam family "Bacterial small subunit ribosomal RNA", at positions 354 to 796 of the family's 1533-position model. The record is from RNAcentral.
GUAGGGAAUAUUGGUCAAUGGACGCAAGUCUGAACCAGCCAUGCCGCGUGCAGGAUGAAGGCCCUCUGGGUUGUAAACUGCUUUUAUCAGGGAAGAAACCACCGGAUUCAUCUGGUGUUGACGGUACCUGAGGAAUAAGCACCGGCUAACUCCGUGCCAGCAGCCGCGGUAAUACGGAGGGUGCAAGCGUUAUCCGGAUUCACUGGGUUUAAAGGGUGCGUAGGUGGGAUUGUAAGUCAGUGGUGAAAGCCCCGGGCUCAACUUGGGAAUUGCCAUUGAUACUGCUUUCCUUGAGUGCGAUUGAGGUGAGUAGAAUAUGUCAUGUAGUGGUGAAAUACUUAGAUAUGACAUAGAAUACCGAUUGCGAAGGCAGCUCACUAAAUCGUAACUGACGCUGAGGCACGAAAGCGUGGGGAUCAAACAGGAUUAGAAACCCUUGUAGUCC